UGGGCCCUGGUCUACGGGGCCGGGAAGGUGCGGUUUAGAUGCUGCUCGCUGGACUCGCGUUCCCCGGGAAGCCUGCGCUGACCACUGUACCCCUCUUCCUCCUCCGAGUUCCUAUGACUUAACUUGUGCCGCUCGAUCCUUGAGGAAGCCACAGGAAAACAAUCUGACAUCAGGUAAGAAUCCGAGUCAAAAUUUGGUGAAACUGAAGAGAAAUUGGAUGUUCCCGGUGGCUCCAUAAGUACCUAUGGUAGGUCCGGGCUGAGAUGUUUUCCUUGGUGACCACUUGUCCACACAGCAGGUGGAGGGUGCAGGAGGCCGAGAGGAAACCUACCCUUCUCGGAGGCUCCAUUUCCUGCUCAGUAAAGUGAAGUUGGACUCUAGGGGGCAGAGUACGAGCAGGAUUGGUCAGGGAUGCAGGGCUGUUCAGACUGAAAUCAAAUACAGGCCGACCUCAGAGAUAACUGCAGAUUCCAGUCCAGACCACCGCAGUGAAGCGAAUUAUCGCAAGAAGGAUUAUGGCAGGAAAAGUGAAAUGGGUCACUGAUAUCGAGAAGUCGGUGCUGAUAAAUAACUUUGAAAAGAGAGGAUGGGUCCAAGUGACAGAAAACGAGGACUGGAAUUUUUACUGGAUGAGUGUGCAAACCAUCCGCAAUGUUUUUAGUGUUGAGACUGGCUACCGGCUCUCAGAUGAUCAAAUAGUCAACCAUUUCCCGAACCACUAUGAACUGACGCGGAAGGAUCUGAUGGUGAAAAACAUCAAGAGAUACAGGAAAGAGCUGGAGAAGGAAGGGAGUCCUUUGGCAGAGAAGGACGAAAGUGGGAAAUACCUCUACCUGGACUUCGUCCCCGUCACCUACAUGCUGCCUGCCGACUACAACCUGUUCGUGGAGGAGUUCAGGAAAAGCCCCUCUAGCACCUGGAUCAUGAAACCUUGUGGCAAAGCCCAGGGAAAGGGCAUCUUUCUGAUCAACAAGCUCUCGCAAAUCAAAAAGUGGUCCCGGGACAGCAAAACGUCUUCGUUCAUGACUCAGUCUACCAAGGAAGCCUACGUGAUCUCUCUGUACAUUAACAACCCAUUACUAAUCGGCGGCAGGAAGUUUGACCUGCGCUUGUAUGUUCUGGUGUCUACGUACCGCCCACUGCGCUGCUACAUGUAUAAACUUGGAUUUUGCCGCUUUUGCACAGUAAAAUACACCCCGAGUACCAGUGAGCUGGACAACAUGUUUGUUCAUCUCACCAACGUUGCCAUUCAGAAACACGGGGAGGAUUACAACCACAUCCACGGGGGCAAGUGGACGGUGCACAACCUGCGACUCUACCUGGAGAGCACCCGAGGCAAGGAGGUGACCAGCAGGCUGUUCGACGAGAUCCACUGGAUCAUCGUGCAGUCCCUGAAGGCUGUGGCGCCGGUGAUGAACAACGACAAACACUGCUUUGAGUGCUACGGCUAUGACAUCAUCAUCGACGACAAGCUGAAGCCCUGGCUGAUCGAGGUGAACGCGUCCCCAUCCCUCACCUCCAGCACGGCCAACGACCGAAUCCUUAAGUAUAACCUGAUUAAUGACACCCUCAACAUCGCCGUCCCUAACGGCGAAAUUCCAGACUGUAAAUGGAACAAGUCACCCCCAAAGGAAGUCCUUGGCAAUUAUGAAAUUCUCCCCGUUUGCCACCAGAAGCCCAAUGCAGAAAUGUGUUCUUCACCCUCAGAGCCUCUAACCCACCCUCAACCCACGGACUCUGGCUCUGGGAAUGAGCUUAUAACGGAAGCACACGCUCUCCCAGAAGUCAGCAAGAUGUAGCUAACGCAACAUAACUGAGCAUCUUAGCACCGUCUACGUUUGAUGUGAACGUCUUCACACGUGUCACAGAGGCUCCUCGGUCAGGGUGUGGUCAGCAGUGAUACCUACGCACACACUUCAACAGUGGCAGGAACUUCACGCUCUGAGCUACAGGGUACGACGAGGAGCUGGCACAGGGCGACGGGGCUGACCGAGAGCUGAGGAGUCGGCCAGGCCAGUCGCUGGGGCCCAGAGGGGGCCGAUCGAGAGACUCCGGGAGGACCGUCCUCACAACCUGGAAGUGACCACC
This is an RNA transcript of Globicephala melas (long-finned pilot whale), 2088 nucleotides long. It is a transcript of the gene named TTL family tubulin polyglutamylase complex subunit L1, with no coding region annotated. The record is from RefSeq and is a predicted model, not a curated record. NCBI's taxonomy places the organism in Eukaryota, Metazoa, Chordata, Mammalia, Artiodactyla, Delphinidae.